This 300-nucleotide ribosomal RNA is filed under the name Streptomyces qinglanensis. Its description in RNAcentral is "bacterial LSU rRNA". It matches the Rfam family "Bacterial large subunit ribosomal RNA", at positions 2628 to 2925 of the family's 2925-position model. The record is from RNAcentral. Lineage: Bacteria; Bacillati; Actinomycetota; Actinomycetes; Kitasatosporales; Streptomycetaceae.
AGUUCGGUCCCUAUCCGCUGCGCGCGUAGGAGUCUUGAGAAGGGCUGUCCCUAGUACGAGAGGACCGGGACGGACGGACCUCUGGUGUGCCAGUUGUUCUGCCAAGGGCAUGGCUGGUUGGCUACGUUCGGGAAGGAUAACCGCUGAAAGCAUCUAAGCGGGAAGCCUGCUUCGAGAUGAGGACUCCCACCCCCUGUGAGGGGUUAAGGCUCCCUGGAGAUGACGGGGUUGAUAGGCCGGAUCUGGAAGCACGGUAACGUGUGGAGGUGACCGGUACUAAUAGGCCGAGGGCUUGUCCAU